RNAcentral lists this ribosomal RNA (322 nucleotides) under uncultured bacterium. RNAcentral describes it as "bacterial SSU rRNA". It matches the Rfam family "Bacterial small subunit ribosomal RNA", at positions 28 to 334 of the family's 1533-position model. The record is from RNAcentral.
GAUGAACGCUGGCGGCGUGCUUAACACAUGCAAGUCGAACGAAGCAUACCAUGGAAGCCUUCGGGUGGAAGCGGUAUGACUGAGUGGCGGACGGGUGAGUAACGCGUGGGUAACCUGCCUUAUACAGGGGGAUAACAGUUAGAAAUGACUGCUAAUACCGCAUAAGCGCACAUGACCGCAUGGCCAGGUGUGAAAAACUGAGGUGGUAUAAGAUGGACCCGCGUCUGAUUAGCUAGUUGGUGGGGUAACGGCCCACCAAGGCGACGAUCAGUAGCCGGCCUGAGAGGGCGACCGGCCACAUUGGGACUGAGACACGGCCCAA